AAUGAUGAAAUUUUCUAUAUCUGACUCCUUAGCCAUAAAAUCUAAAACAUUACUAACGAUUUCCUGUCCUUGUCGAUGCAGACUCUUAUUUUUUACAAAAGACAUUUUCACUUAUGUUUAAUCCAAAGUAUGCCUACAGUAUUUAGUCUAGAUCUAUUGGGUUACAGCCUUCUAUACAAGCACUGGCCUACGCUCCUCUUUUUGAAUAAUGGUUUCACCCAAUACCAACUACGCAUGUGCUUCCAUAUAUCAAUCUGUCUGGAACGAACUAUACAUGGUCUGCUCGAGCUACCUCGGCACACUUUGUCACUGCUCGGGUUAGAGGCAGUUUUUGGGCACGAGUCAAAGCAACACAAGGCGAGAGACGAGG
This 370-nucleotide long non-coding RNA is filed under the name Androctonus crassicauda. The record is from RNAcentral. Lineage: Eukaryota; Metazoa; Arthropoda; Arachnida; Scorpiones; Buthidae.